CCAGCGGAGGGAUCAUUACAGAGUUUUCACAACUCCCAACCCUUGCGAACCGUACCCAUUCUGUUCUCGUUGCUUCCGGCGGGGGGGACGGGGGGGCCCGAAACGGCCUCCCCGCCCCGCCCGCCGGGGGCGGCGGGCCCUACGAACCUUUAUAUCUCAACCACCAGAAACCGUCUGAGAAAACAAACAAAAUAAUCAAAACUUUCAACAACGGAUCUCUUGGCUCUGGCAUCGAUGAAGAACGCAGCGAAAUGCGAUACGUAAUGUGAAUUGCAGAAUUCAGCGAACCAUCGAAUCUUUGAACGCACAUUGCGCCCGCCAGUAUUCUGGCGGGCAUGCCUGUCCGAGCGUCAUUUCCCCCCUCACGCGCCCCGUUGCGCGCUGGUGUUGGGGCUCCUCCGCCUGGCGGAGGGCCCCGAAAGCGAGUGGCGGGCCCGGCUGGUUGGCUCCGAGCGCAGUACCGAACGCAAGUUCUCCCCUCGCCCGGACGCCCCGCCGGCGCCCUGCCGUCAAAACGCGCAUGACGUGCAACUCUUUUUUACAAGGUUGACCUCGGAUCAGGUAGGACUACCCGCUGAACUUAAGCAUAUCAAUAAGCGGAGGAA
RNAcentral lists this ribosomal RNA (605 nucleotides) under uncultured Sporothrix. Its description in RNAcentral is "eukaryotic LSU rRNA". The stretch from base 200 to 353 matches the Rfam family "5.8S ribosomal RNA". The record is from RNAcentral. Lineage: Eukaryota; Fungi; Ascomycota; Sordariomycetes; Ophiostomatales; Ophiostomataceae.